CUCGACAUAUCUUCCCUCAUCGCCUCUCUGUCUUUUCGUCGCACCGCCUUCACUCCAUACUCUGCCAACUUUGCAGUAGACCUUUGUUCAGGUCAUCUCUUCUAUUUUCUUCUUACAAGUUUUUGUUGAUUUUGCCCAAAUUUUUACAACCUUUUUAUCAUGUUUUUUUUUAUUUAUAUUGUUCUUCUCCUUUGGUUCUCAUUAUAACAAUGUUUACA
RNAcentral lists this long non-coding RNA (218 nucleotides) under Cicer arietinum (chickpea). RNAcentral describes it as "long non-coding RNA (CARI_LNC000259)". Lineage: Eukaryota; Viridiplantae; Streptophyta; Magnoliopsida; Fabales; Fabaceae. The record is from RNAcentral.